GGUGAUUCGUCCUUGUGUGUUAGUUUAGUAGAAGGUAGAGAAGGAGUUGUUAGUUAGGGUGAUUUGUCGGUUGCUUGAUGUGUGAAAAUGGCUAUAUUAGCCAGUAAGUUGUAAGUAUAGACUCAUGGUUGUUUGUGGAAUUUGAAGGUAGUCUAAAUGUAUGAUUGGGUAAGUAAGCGUGAUGUGAGAAGCCGUAUAAGUAGAUAAGAUUGUAUGGGGUUAUAGUAUAAGAUUAAUGUCGAUCAUGUCUAUUAUGUGACUUUACCUCUUGACCUUCUUUUCCUUGGUAGUUGUAAACUAGUACUACUUGUGGGAAGGUAUGUAGUAGAUUUUUGAGGUAUAGUAGUAAUGUCAUAAAGGUGCUUUGGUCGUGGAUAGUAUCUAGAUAAAAUC
This 393-nucleotide long non-coding RNA is filed under the name Capsicum annuum. RNAcentral's name for it is "long non-coding RNA (CANN_LNC009425)". Lineage: Eukaryota; Viridiplantae; Streptophyta; Magnoliopsida; Solanales; Solanaceae. The record is from RNAcentral.